Molecule: long non-coding RNA, 498 nt
Organism: Nerophis ophidion (straightnose pipefish)
Lineage: Eukaryota; Metazoa; Chordata; Actinopteri; Syngnathiformes; Syngnathidae
Exons: 2
Source: RefSeq, a predicted model, not a curated record
CAUCAAGCUUGAGAGGAGGAUUGCAAAGUGUGCACACAGCCAGGCGUGCACAAAGCAAUCCCAGCGUAGCGCCAACGCGCUGCAGUCAUUCGCCAAGGUCGUGACCUCCAGUCACUCUGCAUCAUAACAAGAGAAGAAGAGAAUUUUAAUCGGGCCUUGCGAUGCAGCCAGCUGUGUCAACACACACGGGACGUCUGUAACAGAUCGCGGGGGGCGCUGGUGCCUAUCUCAGCUACAAUCGGGCGGAAGGCGGGGUACACCCUGGACAAGUCGCCCCCUCAUCGCAGGGCCACCCUUUGAAGUUUCAUGUUAAAAGUAUGUUGCUUUAAUAAUGUGCGAUUUAAGAGUGUAGAAGAGUUUGGAAGUGUGUUCUCCUGCGUCGGUCGAAGGAACACUAACUUGGUGCAGGCCUUUAACGUAAUGAAAUAAGUACCUGGAGAUGUUUGACUACCUUCACCCCAAAAGAGGUCACGUGAGGAUUAAAAAAACAAAACUCAA